Molecule: ribosomal RNA, 450 nt
Filed under: uncultured bacterium
Lineage: Bacteria
Description: partial 16S ribosomal RNA
Rfam family: Bacterial small subunit ribosomal RNA
Source: RNAcentral
GUGGGGAAUUUUGGACAAUGGGCGAAAGCCUGAUCCAGCAAUGCCGCGUGCAGGAUGAAGGCCCUCGGGUUGUAAACUGCUUUUGUACGAAACGAAAAGCCUGGGGCUAAUAUCCCCGGGUCAUGACGGUACCGUAAGAAUAAGCACCGGCUAACUACGUGCCAGCAGCCGCGGUAAUACGUAGGGUGCAAGCGUUAAUCGGAAUUACUGGGCGUAAAGCGUGCGCAGGCGGUUUUGUAAGACAGUGGUGAAAUCCCCGGGCUCAACCUGGGAACUGCCAUUGUGACUGCAAGGCUAGAGUGCGGCAGAGGGGGAUGGAAUUCCGCGUGUAGCAGUGAAAUGCGUAGAUAUGCGGAGGAACACCGAUGGCGAAGGCAAUCCCCUGGGCCUGCACUGACGCUCAUGCACGAAAGCGUGGGGAGCAAACAGGAUUAGAAACCCCAGUAGUCC